UAAGUAAUAGCAAUGCAUUGAUCAAACCAUACGCUUGCUUGCUUAGAUAGUUGUAUCUUGCCCGUCCUCUCCUCCAUGGUGCGGGUUUGACCCACUCGCCAGAGACUCGGAGGCGCCGCCACUACCCAUAAUUGGCCUAUAAGCAUUGAGCGCGGCCAUAACACCUAAGUGACUUUCAGUAACAAUACUAGUGCCGCCGCCGCUGCCACUUCCGCUUAUUGCUGAACCCAAUUGUUGGCCAGGCAAGAAAGCCAUGG
This 257-nucleotide unclassified non-coding RNA is filed under the name Hevea brasiliensis (rubber tree). Lineage: Eukaryota; Viridiplantae; Streptophyta; Magnoliopsida; Malpighiales; Euphorbiaceae. The record is from RNAcentral.